CGAGAUCCAAAACAUCACUUUCAAGGGGUAGGAGUAGCAUUGAGCUCCAGAAAAAAUGCAGAAACUAUAUAUAAUAAAUAUACAUCCCAAAAUAAGUAUCACUUUUAGGAUUCUUGAAAGAGAUGAAUGUUAUUUAAAAGUUACAUAUUUACUCAUCACAAGCUAUUUCAUCUAAUAAUUGCAUUUUGGGCAACAAUAUCAUCGACCGACUUGUCAGAUUGGUUAGUACAGCUAUAAUGCAGCUCAAUCUUCAGCAACUCAGACUCCAAAUAAACAAUUUGUAAUUCCUUCUCCAUAGCCUUAUUGCGUAAACCUUGGAGCUUUGCCUGCAAUGAAAGCUACAAAAUAAUAAGCAUCAUUGGAUUAUUUGCAGAUUAUAUUUUUAUAAUAAAUUAACUUAGAGACAUAAAUGUUAAUAAUAUUUACUAUAUACUCGAUCAAACUUUAACUUUUUUGAUCGGGACAUAUCCCAUAAUUGUAUUCUUUUAUGGACGGAGAGAGUAUCUAGAUAUAACAGAUUAACAAUAUAUCUAGAUACUUAGAAAAAUUGAUGUGCCAAACAAGUUAGAGCGACUUAUAAUUUGUAAUGAAGGGAGUAAUUCAUACACAGUUAUGUCAGAUCAACUGGGAAACAAAACCACACAUAUCUUGUUAGUCUGAAAUAGAUAUUUGUAAAAAUAGUUUAGCUAUAUAUGGUACUGACUACGUCUUCUUAGUGAAACAUAUACUCUGAAAUACAUAUUUUUAGAAUAAAAUUAUAAAUUGUUAAAAAAAAGCAUCAUGAUUUAGUCCUUAAUUAAGGUAGCAGAAAGUAAGGAACAGAAAUUACUGGAAAUCCCAUCUCAUGUUUGUACCAAAAUAAAAAAUGAGAGCCUAGGAGUAAUAGGCUAACUAACAUUAUAAUAAAGGUAGUAAGAAAGAAUAAAAAAUACACGGAAGAACUACUGGUCUUCUAAGGAUAAAAAUAGGUAGCUGUAAUAUAUCAGUGUAUAUUUGCGGUGGAAUUCUUAGAAAACUACAUGUUUUAGCUGCAAACACCAGAGUAAAUUUGGUAGAAAUAGUAACAUAAGUUUUAUUAAUUGAAUUAAAUUCAAAACUGUAGUAUUCCAUAUAUAUUACAUGAAUUUGGAAUCCAAAUAAAUUUCCAAUAAACUGCAUGCGGACAUUGUGCUCAAAUGCAAUCCAUUUGCAUCCAGGGCAGAAUGAAACUGAAUGACUAUUCCCUUGUUACCUCUUCUGACACGCUCUCUGUGUUAUACUUGUCAUUCCAGUACUGAGUGCAUAUUUCGUAGUGCUGCUACACACUUAGUACGUGGACAAUACCAUAAUAGAUUUAGUGUGCAUGAGUGAGAACAUGAGUCAUGUGUGUGACAGAGAGCACUUACUAGGCAGAGUCAUUGACAAUCUUAUCAUAUGCAAUCCUGAACUUUUUGAAUAUGAUCUAAUAUAUCAUAUUGCUGUAUUGAAAAUUCAUUUAUCAGAAUUGUCAUAUUGAGAAUUGAAUUGGAAUAUUGAACCAGCUGAUUACCAAAAAGCAAUAUUGAACCAGCUGAUUGAACCAGCAGGUUGUCAUUUAUCAGACAUGUACAACCUAAAAGCAAUAUUGAACCAGCUGAUUACCAAAAAGUAAUAUCAGGAAAAAGGUAACUAAUAUAUUAAAAGAUUCAAAGAAAAAUAUAAAAUUCAUGCUGAAUAACUAUUUUCAAUAAAAAAACAGGCUUAUGCAGCAGUAUAAUCUGGUUGCAACAAAUGCAGCAGGUCUACACUACAACUUAGAGGAGCUAAUGUACUGUUAAAAAGUGCCACUUUAAAUCAGCUACAAAUCUGAACAUUUGUGCAGUAUAACAAUUUCAUAAAGAUAUAUAGAUCUUAAAUAUGCAUAUUACCUCAAAGAAAUAUCAUUUUGAAGAUAACAAUACUGAUAGACCUAUGUCACCAAUAAUAAUUGAAAAUACCACGCAGGAUAAUUGAUAAAUAAACUCAUUAGAUCUAAAAUAAACAGUUCUGCAAUACAAAAAUAGCAUUCAUAUUGAACAAAAUAAGCACAUCUGCAACCUACAAUUUUUUUUAUAUCUGCAAAAGUGGUAGUAUAAAAUGAAUGUUGGCAAUUAAUAGAUGGCUCAAGAAAAACUUUUAAAAAAACUAUCUGAUACUAAAUAUGUGAACUCCUGAUACGAGUAAAAGAUACUAACACACUAGACCUACACCACCCAAAAAUGGGAACUCACGCAGACAGUAGACUUGAAGCAGGAUACAGAACUAACAUCUAAGAAAUAUAAUGUUGUUGUUUGAAUUUAGAUUUCUAACGACAAUUAGUAGACCCCAGUCUAGAAAGAUGUUGUAUUUCAUAUAACAUAAACAUGACAAGUCAGAUGAAUAAAAAGAAUGCAAAAUGACAGUGCAUGGGAGGUUGAGAAGAAAUAGAUUGCUACUGAAAAGUGAGUAGACCUAGGGAUAAUAAUACGAUUUUGGAACUAAUAUUAAUGUCAAUAAUUCCUGCACGGACACCACCAUUAGGACACCAUUUUCAGUACAAAAGUGCGGAUCUGACAUGUGAGUCAAUAAACAUAUAUAUAUUAAACAUGAGAUGCAUAAGAAAUGAGACUGAAUUUAUUUCCUAAUUUCCUACACAGGAAUUUUAACAAGAAAACAAUAAGCAAUGUCAAACUAUAUUUACUAAUUAGUGUUUUUUCGACUGACAAAGAAGCUAAAUGGAUGAAAUUAUGUGGAAAGUAUACUAAGUUAAGGAUACAUGCUGUUAAAGCACACACACAAGUUCUGCAUUGCCAGGAAGAAAUAUGAAAUAUUACUGAUGGUAAAAACCAUAUUCACUCACGGUAAAAACUGCAGUGUUUGAACUACAUACACAGAUUUAUGUCCUCUGAAGUGCAAGGACUAUCCAGACGAAAAGAAUAGUGAAAAAAACAAACAAGAAUCAGUUCUGAAUAAAAAAGCGAGGAAGCAAGAACUCAAUAGGAAAAACCACCGACCACCGGAUGCAGAUCCAAACGAACCCAGGCAGCAGCAUGCAGAUCCAGUCCACCACGAAUCGACCCAGUGUGAAUCGAACAAGAAAAUUAAAGGAGCAGCAUAUAUUAUGUUAGAAUGUUGAAAAAAACCAUGACCGAGCUAGAAGUGCAUCUAUUUAGUGACUUAGAAAAGAAAAGAAUAAUCUAGGGGAGAUGAAGGAGCACAAAACUGUCGACCAAAAUUCUGAAGAAAAAGAACAAAAUCAUGUAGAGAGAGUGAGAGUGAGAGUGAGAGUGAGACGAGUGUCGGAUUCGGAUCUGAAAGAGAGAGAGCGAGAGAGGGACAGUGAGAGAGACGGAGAGAGAGGGACGAUGGGAGAGAGACACCGAGAGCUCUGUAGAGGGAGAGAGAGAGAGAGAGAGAGAGAGAGAACAAGAGUGCUGGAGAGAGAGGAACAAGAGUGUAGAGAGAGAGAGACCGAGAGCUCUGGGAGUGUGUGUGAGAGAGUGUGGCGACAGGUAGGAUCGGAGAGAUUGACGGAGUUUGGAACCACGGCGGCGGCUGGGAGACGAGAAAAGACUGUGAUGAUUGGGAAUGGGAACUGUAAGGCUGUUUGGAUGUAGUUAGAUUCACAUCAAUUUAUAUGUGUUGGAGUGGAUUGGAGUGAAAUUUGAACUAAAUUUUAUCUCAAUCCACUCCAACGGCAUAGGAUACACGUGAAAACCCGUGGAUAGAUGAAGGCGGGUGGUGUCCCCCUACUGACAAGCAAUUUUGACCACCGUUGAAUGCAGAAUAGGAGAACAUUCAUACUGGUAGUUCUAAACCUAUUUUUACUAGCACUUUUAACAACUACCAGUGUGAAAGAUUAAUUAAAGUCAGCUAAUUUUAUGGGCGUCAUCUAAGAACCACCUUUGUAAAUAUUUACAGUAGCGAGUGAACCCUGUAAAUCGAUUUACAAUCACCGUUGUGAAUAAGGCUAAAAAGUUAGCAAAAAAUUUAUCAGGGAGAGUCGCGGUUGUGAAGGCUAAAAGAUUAGCAAAAAAGACUCACUACCUCAGGUCUCGCGGGAUACGUCGCCCCUUACCACUGCACCCCUAAAGUCACUUGUGUGACUGAGCACGAGAAACAAUCCCUAGUAUAUUUACUCUGUAAAAUUUUCAAAUGAAGAUUUGAAGCCUUAAGCGAAUUUGAAUGAAAAAAGUUUCAACUUUGUAGUUGUAGAUCUUUUCGAAUACUAUAAUUUUCAUUUAGACCAUGUAUCCAUUUGAAAAACUGAAAAAAAAAACUAACUGUAUUUACACUGGUGGUUUAUAGUAGCGCUAGGUUAAGAAAACAGUCCGUAUAAAAUUUUUACUAACCUGUAUUUCUACUAGCGAUAGACUUAAGAAAACAAUCACUAAAUGUAUUUACACUAGUGGUUUAUAGUUUGAGCCCACAGUUUAUUUGUAAUGGCGCCUAUAUAUUAUGAACCGCUAGUAAAAAGAUUACAACCAUUAGCAAAAAUUGAUUGUGACAAGUGGAAAAACCUUUCGGUGAGAUAGUAAGAGAACCAUAUUCAUGAAAAAAGAGUGUCUGGUUAUUUUUUGUAGAAUGUGUUUGGUUAGUGGUUACUCAGAGCAUCUCUAAAAGUUUCCAGAAAUUAGUUCCCAAAAUUAAUGAGUUUUCCAAGUCGUCAAAAAGAAUUAGAACCAGCAAAGAAGGCUUUCUCCAACCGUUUCCGGCCUCUAAUAAUUGCUUGCCAAUAAUUUAUAUUUUUUUAUUUAAAAAACACUCGCAUAUAGCAACAUAUGCAAACAUACCAUACAAGUCACUACAAAAAUUCAUUAAACGAGGGGUAUAUUGGACAUCAUGUUUAGAUUUGAAAAUUUUUGGCCAAAGUGGUAAAAAUUUUUGUGGUCAGAACUUUAGCUCAAAAGUCUGACGCACGCGAAAAAUUUUAGGUAUUUAGUUUGUCAAUUUUUUUCUGACACGACUUGGGCUGCAUGCAGUUGUUAUUGGUGGGCUUACAUGGGAGUGCGUGCACAGUAGCAGGUUCUGCAGCCCAAAAUUUUUGCCCCGUUUAGGCCUUGUUUAGUUCCGAAAAAAUUUCGGAUUUCGCUACUGUAGCACUUUCGUUUUUAUUUGACAAAUAUUGUCCAAUCAUAAACUAACUAGGAUCAAAAGAUUCGUCUCGUGAUUUACAGACAAACUGUGUAAUUAGUUUUUGUUUUCGUCUAUAUUUAAUGCUUUAUGCAUGUGCCGCAAGAUUCGAUGUGACGGGGAAUCUUGAAACCUUUUUGGAUUUCGGGGUGAACUAAACAAGGCGUUCCUAGACCCUAAUUCCACAAAAAAAAAUCUUUAGACCAAAAAAUUUCAAAUCUAAACAGACCCAAGCCAUUUAUCACCAAACUGGAGGGCAAAUGCCUAACCAAAAAGUUUGAUGAACGUGAUGUACCAUCCACUAGUGGAGGACAAAUGCACAACCAAAAUGUCCUUACCCAGCCAUUUAUCACCAAACAGAGAAGCUGUUCUA
This 5482-nucleotide long non-coding RNA is filed under the name Sorghum bicolor (sorghum). Its description in RNAcentral is "long non-coding RNA (SBIC_LNC011583)". The record is from RNAcentral. Lineage: Eukaryota; Viridiplantae; Streptophyta; Magnoliopsida; Poales; Poaceae.